RNAcentral lists this long non-coding RNA (435 nucleotides) under Setaria italica (foxtail millet). Its description in RNAcentral is "long non-coding RNA (SITA_LNC007147)". The record is from RNAcentral. Lineage: Eukaryota; Viridiplantae; Streptophyta; Magnoliopsida; Poales; Poaceae.
UUGAAGUUGUCUUCCUAUUUUUCAUUUGUAGAAAGAACUCAUCUCAUCUGUAACGUCAUGCCUAGGCUAGGCAUCGGAAGUGUCAGGAAUUCAUAUGCUGCCACGCUUUCCAUUUCGGAGACAAACAGGAUUUCCUGCUCUUUCACCAGUGUUGCAUGGAUCGCUAGAAUUCCGAUGCUGACGUCUGGAAACUGCACUCUGCUUCGCUGGAUUAUCUGAAGUCGAGCCGAGCCGAGCCACUAAUGAGACGAGUCCAGCGAGCUAGGAGUUUUUUGUCCAGUCCUAGUUGGUGUCCUAUUUGGCACUGUUUGAAUCUUUGUUGAUCAUUUUCCUUGUGUUUUAUUAUGAGCAAUAAAACACUAGGAACAGUAACAAAUAUGAUGUAAACAACUCCAAAUAGAGUACCAACUAAUAGCCUAUAUUUUAGAAACUUUU